ACACGACUACAUUAGAUACCCGUGUAGUCCUAGCCGUAAACGAUACUCGCUAGGUGUCGGCCACGGUGCGACCGUUGUCGGUGCCGUAGGGAAGCCGUGAAGCGAGCCACCUGGGAAGUACGGCCGCAAGGCUGAAACUUAAAGGAAUUGGCGGGGAGCACCACAAGAGGUGGAGGCUGCGGUUCAAUUGGACUCAACGCCGGAAGACUCAUCGGGAGCGACAGCAGUAUGAUUGCCAGGUUGAUGACCUUGCUUGACAAGCUG
RNAcentral lists this ribosomal RNA (264 nucleotides) under uncultured archaeon. RNAcentral's name for it is "partial 16S ribosomal RNA". It matches the Rfam family "Archaeal small subunit ribosomal RNA", at positions 719 to 982 of the family's 1478-position model. The record is from RNAcentral.